UAUCCUGAGCCUGCUGGCUAUUAUGCAUAAAGUAGCCGUGCUCUUUUCCGGCGUUAAUUUUCUGGUUCAGGAAGAA
This 76-nucleotide small RNA is filed under the name Salmonella enterica subsp. enterica serovar Typhi. RNAcentral describes it as "StyR-173". The record is from RNAcentral. Lineage: Bacteria; Pseudomonadati; Pseudomonadota; Gammaproteobacteria; Enterobacterales; Enterobacteriaceae.